ACUUAUUUGAAUUAAAGAUCAUUUUGAAUCGGCUAUCAAUCUUUCAAACUUUUGAUUUUACUAUUCAACCUUUCAAUUUAUUUGAUUAAAGUCAAUCAACAGCACUUUGGUUUUAGAAUUUUAAGCUACUUUUUUAUUUUAAUAAAUUUAUAGGUGCGAGAAUUACACAAAGUUUAUUAACUAAACCUAUGAAAAUAAACAAUAUAUUCAAAAUUUGAACUCCAAAUGCCGUUAACUGACUAAAAUCAAAUAACUUAAAAUAUUGGAUAGCAAAAUCAAAAUUUUGAAAAGCUCGGAAA
RNAcentral lists this long non-coding RNA (299 nucleotides) under Ananas comosus (pineapple). RNAcentral describes it as "long non-coding RNA (ACOM_LNC021549)". The record is from RNAcentral. Lineage: Eukaryota; Viridiplantae; Streptophyta; Magnoliopsida; Poales; Bromeliaceae.